This is a long non-coding RNA of Oryzias melastigma (Indian medaka), 4005 nucleotides long. RefSeq lists it as uncharacterized. Lineage: Eukaryota; Metazoa; Chordata; Actinopteri; Beloniformes; Adrianichthyidae. The transcript is spliced from 3 exons. The record is from RefSeq and is a predicted model, not a curated record.
AAAUAGUGAACAUUAUUGUUAUUGCUUUUAAAAUCCUGGGCACUAGGUAGUCCCGCACUGUAUAGUUUUGUAGUUCUUAAAGGAAUAGGAAGUUAAUUCUGACAUAGCCUACAAAUUCAAAAUCGAAUGUCGUAGAAAUUUCUCAGAAGUCUAAAAAAAAAACUUGUACAUCAGUACUCUCUAUAUUGUCGAAUAUAGACCACAAUGCAUUGCAGUUGAAUUGAUUUUUUUAUGUAAAAAUAUAUUUUAAUGUCUUAUUAUUCACAAUAAAAUCGAUGUUGUUAUGUAUUUCCGAGGGCUAGCAGCUCAGUGCUAACGUAGCUGACCGGCGACUAUUGAUGACAUCAUCGAGUGGGACUAACGUCCGAAUUCGAAGACACUAUUGUUCCAUAACUUUCAAUGUGGAGGGUUAUAUGUAUCUUGUAGAUAUUUUUUUUUAAUUAAAACUUUUUUGUUGCAUGUUGGUAAAAAAAUAAAUAAAUAAAUAAAUUGAGAUAGUAUAGUCGUAUUACCACAAUGAGGCUCAACAAACAUGAGUGUCCACACUAAAGCUGUUUUUGUUCUUCAGCAGAUUAACUGUGAGGACAUUUUGUGUCAUAAAAGACUGUCUUCAGACUUUUAAUGCAUUCAUUUGUGUUCAGGAGCCAACUUCAGUUUAACAUAAUGAUACUCUCACGUUGCCAGAGCUAUUUUACUCCAUUUCCCAGUGCCAAUACAGGAUAAUGCUCCGCCUGAACCUCCCAUCGCUUUCAUAUAGCUCGCAAAAUGAGCUAACUUGUCAGAUUUUUUUAAAAGAAAUAUAUCAGAAUAGUUUCAAAUAUUGUGCUCAAACUCAGUGAAACCUUAACGUGUCCAUUUUCUAAAAUCGUUCAUGUCUGCUCCUGCAUUCUUUGUACGAUACGAGGCCCUGCGGUCAGGCUGACACUUUAAAGAGUCUUAUAAGCUGCUGCCAUAUUUCCUCAAAGCUUUGGUUUAUACUGGCAUUUUGUUAGUAGAUGCUCAAUUGAAUUUCUCAUUGUGAGUCUUCCUUUAAAAAAUGCCUCGUGAAAAUGCAAGUACAGAAAAAGAAGUUUAUAAGGUCCAGAAUGGACUUUAAAAGUAGUCUGUAAAAGGGCAACAUUAGGAUUCAAAUACAGCAUUUAUUGUAACAGCAAACGCUCCCAGAACACACGCAGGAACAAGUCUUCCUUAUUGAGGGAGAAAUAUGCAUAAAUCUGCUACAGAAAAAAAAAAAAAAUCUCAAUCUUUGAUGGUCCCUGACACUUUUGUGUUCUCUUUUUGUCAAUAUUGACCACUCUUUCUUUUAAAAGACAAAGACUUUUAAAGCUUCAUUCAAAGUUAUUGUUUUUCCUUGCAUUAUUUAUAAGAAUUAAUCUAUUGCUGUUGAGGAUAAAUAAGCAACUUAGUUUAUUUUAACUUUGCAUUUCAUGCAAAAAAAAGUGCUUCAUCUUUAUAUAAAAAAACAUAUUAUUUAGUAUAAAUGAAAAAGUGCUGAAAUCACCUGGAAUAAUUGAAAAUAUGAUUUAAUUGAAAUGAUAGAUGUUCCAUAAUUUUAAAAAAUGUUUUUAAAAAAAUGUAGACUUUGUUUUUGAAAGGUCCAUCUGUUUAACAGUACUCCAGAUGUCACACAGUGUAAUAAUUUGUAAUAAAGUGUAACAAAACUGUGUAUUUAUGUCUUCUUUAUUGAACUGAAACCCUUUAAACUAGAUUAGAAUAUAGUUUUUUUAAAUCUUAAAACCCUCCCAUUAACAAAGCUUACAGAAUGUUGUCAAGAGUCACACUAUGAUCCUAUUUUGAUCUAUUUUAAAGCGUUUCCACUGGUCUUUUAUUCUGCGUUCACAUCAAACGUGAUUCGUGCAGCAGAGGCGGCCAGUUUCAAUGUAAGUCAAUGGUAAAGACGCGAUUUGAGGUCCUGUGGUGAGAUUUGAGUGAUGGCAACGGCGGUCUGGCAACAGUGCAAUUUGAGUGGCUAGAGUUAAAAUAUCUGGAUUUUGGCAAGGUUGCUGCAUUGCAUCUACCAAUCAGGGACUAAGUUUUGACCAUGUGACCAGAUCAGUCAGAAAAAAUACUAAUGAAGUGCGAGUGUUUUUAUCUUGAACUUUCAUUCAUUUUCUUAACCCGCUUAGCUGCGGGGUUGCUGGAGCCUGUCCUGGCUACUGCUGGGUGAAAGCGGGUACACCCUGGACAGAUUGCCAAUCUAUUGCACCCACGGCCGCUCUCUGGCUGCCGACUAGCCAGUCGCUAGCGGAGCUUGCUAGCUCACUACAACAACAAACAGAGCUGCUGCUGGGUGGGAAGGCAAAUAUUUUUCUUAUUUUCAUCAUAUUUUCAUCUAAUUUUAUUAUCCCCCUCUCUGGUUAGUUUAGUACAGCAGCAAGCCUUCAAAUUGGGUCACAAAGACACAGAAACACAGUGGAAACGGCCGUCACACAGUGUCAGAAUGGGAGAGAAACCCCUAAUAUCUGUAGAAUCAUUGAAUGAUCACAUGAAUAAACAUGAUCUCUCAACAUCAUCCGUGUCUUCCAUAUGUAGCAGUGGUCUGUGCAGCUGCACUCAAUCUCCCAAUCACAGACUACCUGGGGAAAGGUAUAAAAAUGGUUUGGCUCACACUAUGGCAGUCUGAUGCACUGUUCCCAGCCACACCUGUUUGCCAGCUCUCCACUGGGUUGGCAAGCAAAGCCCUCCAGCACAUGGAGAGGCUUGUCUGAGGUGUGAGCAUGUAGUGCAGAUCAUUUUCCCUCCAGCCAUUCAGGUGCAGAGAGGGCACCACUGCUGUGUUUUAGUUACUGUUUUGUUGUAUUUUUAAGCUGUUGUCACAGCUAGUUUUAGUUUAUUUCUGCUCUUGUGCUGCGCGGCCAAACUGAAGCCCUGCCUGAGCACCGCCUCCCCUCAGCGGCUUCAGGCCUUCGGCGUGCCCUCCCCCUCAGCGGCUUCAGGCUUCCGGAGCGGCUUCAGGCCUUCGGCGUGCCCUCCCCCUCAGCGGCUUCAGGCUUCCGGAGCGGCUUCCCCUCCGCGGCUUCAGGCUCCCGGAGCACCCCUGGACUUUUGGACGGUUCCCUUUCCUUUUUUUUGAACUUGUACUACAUUUUAUUUAGGUGUGAGUGUGCAGGUGUGUGUGGUUACCCUACUUACCGGUUUUAUUUUUCUUUUCAGGGGAAGUGCUGGGCAGAGCGAGUUGGCUGACGACGGUGGAGGCUUUUUGUGUGUGUCCAGGUGUGGGUCCAUUACCUUUCACGCGUGUGUGUGUGCAUGUCACUGUGGGGUGAAAUCCAUUUUUGUUUUUCCUCCCCUCGUACGCCCAGCACUCUGCCGGUAAGCCUUCCCCCAGUAGGGUUUUUAUUUUUUUAGCUUUGGUUGUUUUAAUUGGUUUUAUAUUUCUUUAAUAAAACUAUUUAUUGAACUGGAACCACGUCUUGGCUGCUUGGGAAAAAAAUCUACGUGUCCUUUAUCAGGACUUCCCUUUGGGUUCCCUGGACCCUGCAUUCCGGGGUGGCGUUGUUUUCCUUUUGAGUCCUACCCAAAAUCCGCUUUGCCACACAUAUAUUGAAAGUGAGAUAAACACAGACACUAUUCCAUGUAGCAAUCAGGCUAAAAACAUUAGCUGGUAGCUCCUUCCACGGCAGUAAGCUAAGGAUCACAUUUUAGGACAGGCGGUGAGCAGUAAUUUUGCCACAUGGCAAAAUAGGGGGGGUGACGCGAAUUUGAUACGCAAAUUGCAUUCUGUGUAAGUGCAGCAUUAGCUAUGAUUAUGCUAGUUUUAGCCAAAAGCUAAAAAUCUGUGCUAUUUUCUAGGACAUAGUUUCUGCAAAACGGCAGAAGUUCAUUAGAAAUUCACCUCUAAAUUGUGGGCAGAACUGUUGGCGCGGAGUAAACCUGCCUUCUUUUCCCAUCAUCCAUCUGUUUACAAGCUCUCCUACUAGCUUACAGCCCCUCAAAACCGAACAUUAGCGGUGCAACAAAUAGAGCUGAAUAGAGCUGAGCAGGGAACUUGUGGCUUGCCGUAGU